GCAGUGGGGAAUCUUGGACAAUGUGUUAACACACGAUCCAGCAAUAUCUUAGAGACUAUGAAGGUUUGAGAGAACUGAAAGGUUUAGAAUAAUAAAAGAACAAGGUAUUUCUUGACUUACUUUUAUUAUGUAAGCUCCGACUAAUUUCGUGCCAGCAGUCGCGGUAAGACGAGAGGAGCAAGUGUUAUUCGUGCUGAUUGGGCGUAAAGGGUAUGUAGACGGUUAAAUAAGUUUAAAGUUAAAACAAUGAGCUUAACUCUUGAGAAGCUUUUUAAUACUAUUUAACUUUGAGUAUAUUAGAAAAUAGUGGGAUUUUUAGAGGAAAGGUAAAAUUUAAUGAUUUUAAGGAGACGAAGCUUGCGAAGGCGACUUUUUAUAAUAUACUGACGUUGAGAUACAAAAGUAUAGGGAGCAAAGAGGAUUAGAGACCUCGUAGUCUAUACUGUGACCGAUGAAUAUUGGAAAAAUAAAAAUGACUUAUAUUUAUUUAUCUAAGCUAACGCGUAAAUAUUCCGCCUGGGAACUAUGGCCGCAAGGUU
Molecule: ribosomal RNA, 539 nt
Filed under: uncultured bacterium
Lineage: Bacteria
Description: bacterial SSU rRNA
Rfam family: Bacterial small subunit ribosomal RNA
Source: RNAcentral